UGGGGAAUUUUGGACAAUGGGCGAAAGCCUGAUCCAGCAAUGCCGCGUGUGUGAAGAAGGCCUUCGGGUUGUAAAGCACUUUUGUCCGGAAAGAAAUCCUUGGCUCUAAUACAGUCGGGGGAUGACGGUACCGGAAGAAUAAGCACCGGCUAACUACGUGCCAGCAGCCGCGGUAAUACGUAGGGUGCAAGCGUUAGUCGGAAUUACUGGGCGUAAAGCGUGCGCAGGCGGUUUGCUAAGACCGAUGUGAAAUCCCCGGGCUCAACCUGGGAACUGCAUUGGUGACUGGCAGGCUAGAGUAUGGCAGAGGGGGGUAGAAUUCCACGUGUAGCAGUGAAAUGCGUAGAGAUGUGGAGGAAUACCGAUGGCGAAGGCAGCCCCCUGGGCCAAUACUGACGCUCAUGCACGAAAAGCGUGGGGAGCAAAACAGGAUUAGAUACCCUGGUAGUCCACGCCCUAAAACGAUGUCAACUAGUUGUUGGGGAUUCAUUUCCUUAGUAACGUAGCUAACGCGUGAAGUUGACCGCCUGGGGAGUACGGUCGCAAGAUUAAAAACUCAAAGGAAUUGACGGGGUCAUAGCUGUUUCCU
This 589-nucleotide ribosomal RNA is filed under the name uncultured bacterium. RNAcentral's name for it is "partial 16S ribosomal RNA". It matches the Rfam family "Bacterial small subunit ribosomal RNA", at positions 355 to 1375 of the family's 1533-position model. The record is from RNAcentral.